Molecule: long non-coding RNA, 500 nt
Organism: Fundulus heteroclitus (mummichog)
Lineage: Eukaryota; Metazoa; Chordata; Actinopteri; Cyprinodontiformes; Fundulidae
Exons: 4
Source: RefSeq, a predicted model, not a curated record
GCUACACUAUGUUCAUGGAAAAAAUUGCCUUGAUCUCAGUAAAUACUCAGUAAGACUUUGGUUGUCUGAGAUAAACAAAACCAUUAGGAGCUGAUGAGCCACAGCUGUAGCGCCUGCAGAGAGCUCUAUUUAAGCCUCAGGUGCUGGUUGACCAUUCAGUUGUGGCAGGAACUAUGGGAGGAAUUUGGCUUCUGGGUUUUUGUGCAGUCGCCUUGUGGCUUAAAGGGUCUUGUUUACCUGUUGAUCAUAAUGGAGGAAUACACUAUGAACCAAAAGGGACUGGAAACUCCUUGUUCCAAAAUGAGAUUGCUCUAAUGAGAAAAGUUGCUUUACUCCAGUCAGUGGAUUCCAGGUUGCUGGGAACUUCAAAAGAAGCGCAACUGGAAACAAAUGAAGUGGAACGCGUGUCAAGCGACGCCUCCCACAACGUGUCAAGCGACGCCUCCCACAACGUGUCAAGCGACGCCUCCCACAACGUGUCAAGCGACGCCUCCCACAAC